CCUACGGGAGGCAGCAGUGGGGAAUAUUGGACAAUGGGCGCAAGCCUGAUCCAGCCAUACCGCGUGUGUGAAGAAGGCCUUUUGGUUGUAAAGCACUUUAAGCGAGGAGGAGGCUCUUGAGGAUAAUACCCUUGAUGAGUGGACGUUACUCGCAGAAUAAGCACCGGCUAACUCUGUGCCAGCAGCCGCGGUAAUACAGAGGGUGCGAGCGUUAAUCGGAAUUACUGGGCGUAAAGCGCGCGUAGGCGGCUUGUUAAGUCGGAUGUGAAAUCCCCGGGCUCAACCUGGGCACUGCAUUCGAUACUGGCAAGCUAGAGUAUGGGAGAGGAAGGUAGAAUUCCAGGUGUAGCGGUGAAAUGCGUAGAGAUCUGGAGGAAUACCGAUGGCGAAGGCAGCCUUCUGGCCUAAUACUGACGCUGAGUGNGAGANANGGAGANACAGAUAGAUAC
RNAcentral lists this ribosomal RNA (449 nucleotides) under uncultured bacterium. RNAcentral describes it as "bacterial SSU rRNA". It matches the Rfam family "Bacterial small subunit ribosomal RNA", at positions 338 to 785 of the family's 1533-position model. The record is from RNAcentral.